CCUGAAUGCUAAGUAAGCUAAAGAGUUUUAGCUCCAAACGCCGUGUUCUGAAUAAAAAACGCUCUGAUUUAUGUGAACGCACACACAGACAGGACGUGUCCGCGAAGAGCUUUCUCCGCUUCGAGGUUUCAUUGAGCCAAACGAGGGGGAAACUGCGAGGCUACCAAGGGUCUGUGAUUGGAAACACGUGUCUGGAAGAAAGCAAUUCAAGGCGGGCAAAACAGCGACCUGUACCCGCUCCGACAGCCUGGAGCAGAUGGUCAGACUGUGAAACCAAAGCCAGGACAGGGACCCCUAAGUAAGCUGUGAGGAUCGUGUCAAAUUGUGAAUUCUUCAGACCUCAUGUUAUUUCACCUUUCCACUUCAAGGUGAAAUUGUCUCAUCUAACAGCGGCUGGAUCAUGGCCCGGAAACCAUGUAGCUCCGUGUGUUGGUUUGUUGCUAAAUGCUGCUACAUUUGAGCCGCCUCGCUCACACUUGGCUCUCCGGAAAGCGUUCUUCACUCUCUGCCAAAUGCACCGAGCACAGAGCCAGCGGAGCAAAGCGAAAUACUUGAAGAGGAGG
Astatotilapia calliptera (eastern happy) is the source of this 563-nucleotide long non-coding RNA. The record is from Ensembl. NCBI's taxonomy places the organism in Eukaryota, Metazoa, Chordata, Actinopteri, Cichliformes, Cichlidae.